AGGGCACCACCAGGAGUGGAGCCUGCGGCUUAAUUUGACUCAACACGGGGAAACUUACCCGGCCUGGACACUGGAAGGAUUGACAGAUUGAGAGCUCUUUCUUGAUUCAGUGGGUGGUGGUGCAUGGCCGUUCUUAGUUGGUGGAGCGAUUUAUCUGGUUAAUUCCGAUAACGAACGAGACUCUAGCCUAUUAAAUAGGCUCCCGGCUUUUAAACGCCGGGAGGACUCCUUAGAGGGACAGGUGGCGGUUCAGCCGCACGAAAGAGAGCAAUAACAGGUCUGUGAUGCCCUUUGUUGUCCGGGGCCGCACGCGCGCUACACUGAAGAGAUCAGCGUGCUUUAUGUUCCUGCUCCGACCGGAGUGGGGAGCCCAGUGAACCUUCUUCGUGAUUGGGAUAGAAGAUUGUAAUUAUUCUUCUUGAACGAGGAAUUCCCAGUAAAUGCGAGUCAUAAGCUCGCGUUGAUUACGUCCCUGCCCUUUGUACACACCGCCCGUCGCUACUACCGAUUGACUAAUUA
RNAcentral lists this ribosomal RNA (519 nucleotides) under uncultured eukaryote. Its description in RNAcentral is "SSU rRNA". It matches the Rfam family "Eukaryotic small subunit ribosomal RNA", at positions 1161 to 1699 of the family's 1831-position model. The record is from RNAcentral.